CAGAUGUUAAACGUGAAGGAUAACGUUGCUUUAGCAACGGCCCGAAGGGCGAGGCAAAGCCGAGUCAUCCUGCACGACCCGCCA
Molecule: small RNA, 84 nt
Filed under: Salmonella enterica subsp. salamae
Lineage: Bacteria; Pseudomonadati; Pseudomonadota; Gammaproteobacteria; Enterobacterales; Enterobacteriaceae
Description: partial RtT sRNA
Rfam family: RtT RNA
About the family: This family represents a bacterial cis-regulatory element known as RtT RNA.
Source: RNAcentral